CCCGCUGAACUUAAGCAUAUCAAUAAGCGGAGGAAAAGAAACUAACAAGGAUUCCCCUAGUAACUGCGAGUGAAGCGGGAAAAGCUCAAAUUUAAAAUCUGGCGUGCCUCUGGCCGUCCGAGUUGUAGUCUGGAGAAGCGUUUUCCGUGUUGGACCGUGUACAAGUCUCUUGGAACAGGGCGUCAUAGAGGGUGAGAAUCCCGUCUUUGACACGGACUACCAAUGCUUUGUGAUGCGCUCUCAAAGAGUCGAGUUGUUUGGGAAUGCAGCUCAAAAUGGGUGGUAAAUUCCAUCUAAAGCUAAAUAUAGGCGAGAGACCGAUAGCGAACAAGUACCGUGAGGGAAAGAUGAAAAGCACUUUGGAAAGAGAGUUAAACAGUACGUGAAAUUGUUGAAAGGGAAACGUUUGAAGUCAGUCGCGUCGGCCGAGACUCAGCCUUGCUUCCGCUCGGUGCACUUCUCGGUUGACGGGUCAGCAUCAAUUUCGACCGCCGGAUAAAGGUUGAGGGAACGUGACAUCUUUCGAGGUGUGUUAUAGCCCUCGAUUCGCAUACGGCGAUUGGGAUUGAGGAACUCAGCGCGCCUUCAUGGCCGGGGUUCGCCCACGUAACGUGCUUAGGAUGCUGGCGUAAUGGCUUUAAACGACCCGUCUUGAAACACGG
RNAcentral lists this ribosomal RNA (662 nucleotides) under uncultured fungus. Its description in RNAcentral is "eukaryotic LSU rRNA". It matches the Rfam family "Eukaryotic large subunit ribosomal RNA", at positions 24 to 664 of the family's 3401-position model. The record is from RNAcentral. Lineage: Eukaryota; Fungi.